CCUACGGGUGGCAGCAGUGGGGAAUAUUGGACAAUGGGGGCAACCCUGAUCCAGCGAUGCCGCGUGAGUGAAGAAGUAUUUCGGUAUGUAAAGCUCUUUCAGCAGGGAAGAAAAUGACGAUACCUGAAUCAGAAGCCCCGGCUAACUCCGUGCCAGCAGCCGCGGUAAUACGUAGGGGGCAAGCGUUAUUCGGAUUUACUGGGUGUAAAGGUAGCGUAGACGGUUCAGCAAGUCAGAUGUGAAAGGGCUGGGCUCAACCCGGGGACUGCAUUGGAAACUGUUGAACUGGAGUACAGGAGAGGUAAGCGGAAUUCCGAGUGUAGCGGUGAAAUGCGUAGAGAUGUGGAGGAACACCAGUGGCGAAGGCGGCCUACUGGACUGAAACUGACGCUGAGGUGCGAAAGCGUGGGGAGCAAACAGGAUUAGAUACCCCUGUAGUC
RNAcentral lists this ribosomal RNA (440 nucleotides) under uncultured bacterium. RNAcentral describes it as "partial 16S ribosomal RNA". It matches the Rfam family "Bacterial small subunit ribosomal RNA", at positions 338 to 795 of the family's 1533-position model. The record is from RNAcentral.